Molecule: ribosomal RNA, 253 nt
Filed under: uncultured bacterium
Lineage: Bacteria
Description: partial 16S ribosomal RNA
Rfam family: Bacterial small subunit ribosomal RNA
Source: RNAcentral
UACGGGGGGGGCAAGCGUUGUUCGGAAUUACUGGGCGUAAAGGGCUCGUAGGCGGCCAACUAAGUCAGACGUGAAAUCCCUCGGCUUAACCGGGGAACUGCGUCUGAUACUGGAUGGCUUGAGAUUGGGAGAGGGAUGCGGAAUUCCAGGUGUAGCGGUGAAAUGCGUAGAUAUCUGGAGGAACACCGGUGGCGAAGGCGGCAUCCUGGACCAACACUGACGCUGAGGAGCGAAAGCGUGGGGAGCGAACAGG